Molecule: ribosomal RNA, 505 nt
Filed under: uncultured bacterium
Lineage: Bacteria
Description: partial 16S ribosomal RNA
Rfam family: Bacterial small subunit ribosomal RNA
Source: RNAcentral
GACGAACGCUGGCGGCGUGCCUAAUACAUGCAAGUAGAACGCACAGUUUAUACCGUAGCUUGCUACACCAUAGACUGUGAGUUGCGAACGGGUGAGUAACGCGUAGGUAACCUGCCUGGUAGCGGGGGAUAACUAUUGGAAACGAUAGCUAAUACCGCAUAAUAUUGAUUAUUGCAUGAUAAUUGAUUGAAAGAUGCUAUUGCAUCACUACCAGAUGGACCUGCGUUGUAUUAGCUAGUAGGUGAGGUAACGGCUCACCUAGGUGACGAUACAUAGCCGACCUGAGAGGGUGAUCGGCCACACUGGGACUGAGACACGGCCCAGACUCCUACGGGAGGCAGCAGUAGGGAAUCUUCGGCAAUGGACGAAAGUCUGACCGAGCAACGCCGCGGGAGUGAAGAAGGUUGUCGGAUCGUAAAGCUCGGUUGUAAGAGAAGAACGGGUGUGAGAGUGGAAAGUUCACACUGUGACGGUAUCUUACCAGAAAGGGACGGCUAACUACGUG